UGCGUAGGCGGUCCAGAAAGUUGGGUGUGAAAGCCCUCGGCUCAACCGAGGAAUUGCGCCCAAAACUACUGGACUUGAGGGAGACAGAGGUGAGCGGAACUUAGGGUGGAGCGGUGAAAUGCGUUGAUAUCCUAAGGAACACCAGUAGCGAAAGCGGCUCACUGGGUCUCUUCUGACGCUGAGGCACGAAAGCUAGGGGAGCGAACGGGAUUAGAUACCCCGGUAGUCCUAGCCGUAAACGAUGAGCACUGGGUUGGAGGGUCCUCCAUAGCCUUCUAGCCGUAGCGAAAGUGUUAAGUGCUCCGCCUGGGGAGUAUGGUCGCAAGGCUGAA
This 332-nucleotide ribosomal RNA is filed under the name uncultured bacterium. RNAcentral's name for it is "bacterial SSU rRNA". It matches the Rfam family "Bacterial small subunit ribosomal RNA", at positions 568 to 898 of the family's 1533-position model. The record is from RNAcentral.